RNAcentral lists this non-coding RNA (46 nucleotides) under Trichobilharzia regenti. Lineage: Eukaryota; Metazoa; Platyhelminthes; Trematoda; Strigeidida; Schistosomatidae. The record is from RNAcentral.
GUACUGAUGAAGAGUCCCAAAAUAGGACGAAACAGCUAUCCAGUAC